UCCUCGUUACCGAGGCAGUCUCGCUAGACAUACUAACUAGCGACGAGGGUUGCGCUCGUUCCCGGACUUAACCGGACACCUUGCGGCACGAGCUGACGACGGCCAUGCAGCACCUGUCACCGAGCUCCUCUUGCGAGGCACCCUCUCCUUUCGGAAAGGUUCUCGGGAUGUCAAGCCUAGGUAAGAUUCUUGGCUUAUUAUCCAAUUAAUCGAGGCAAUCCACUGCUUGUGUGUUCCCCCGCCUAUCCCUUUGAGUUUCAGCCUUGCGACUAUACUACUCAGGCGACUCGCUUAACGCGUUAGCUUACGACACUCCACCGCCGAAGCAGUGAAACAUCUAGCGAGCAUCAUUUACAGUCUGGACUAC
RNAcentral lists this unclassified non-coding RNA (367 nucleotides) under uncultured bacterium. RNAcentral describes it as "contains 16S-23S intergenic spacer region". The record is from RNAcentral.